This is a long non-coding RNA of Oryza sativa Japonica Group (Japanese rice), 950 nucleotides long. RefSeq lists it as uncharacterized. NCBI's taxonomy places the organism in Eukaryota, Viridiplantae, Streptophyta, Magnoliopsida, Poales, Poaceae. The record is from RefSeq and is a predicted model, not a curated record.
CUUUCGGUACCACACGGUACUGGUACCAUGAGGUACCAGUUUUCAUCCGGCCGUCCAUUGCUAAAGGGGUACGAUGGGCAUGAGGCUGUAUCGCGUGCGCUAUCCAUCUCAGGUUUUGGGCGACCUCAUCCUGAAGCGCCAUAGCCAUCCCAUCCCACGAGGCCACGACCAAGCAGGCAGCAAGGGCUACCCACCCGCUUGACCGGAAGUGCCGCCGCGGCAGGUGCACGGGCUACUGCCGGUGGACGUCGCCGCCGCCGUAGUAGGGGCACGUCGCCAACGCCGCCCUCCGCGGCCGCCGCUGGAGUCGUCGCCGCCGCCGCAGGAGUCAACCGCUGCCGCAGGAGCACGUCGCCCCUGCCGCCGUGGGGACACGUCACCAACGCCGCCCCCCGCGCCCGUCGCGGCCGCUGCUGGAGUCGUCGCCGCCGUUGCAGGUGCUUGUUGCCCCUGCCGCCGACUCCUGUGAUUUCAUCGCUGUCGUAGAGGCAAACUCUUUAUGAGUGAAGAUAUGGCUGACAAUUUCAGGACCCUUGAGGAGGAAGAGGAGUAUCGUACGAUUACUGCUAUGAGAUUCAAGACUGAGGAUGACGGCUUCAAGUUAUAGGCUAUUACAUUUUGCAAUCAUGUCUCAAAGUUGUUUUGUCAUUCCUACAAUUUCAGGAAAGUAGAAGAAGAUGUGUGAGAUGGAUAAGAAGUAGAAGCAGCCCUUUGCUAUGCACUUUACAUAGUUUUGUCAUUCUCUUGGUCGUAAUGAAUACAUUGGACUGUAAUGAAUCUUUGAUGUGCUUUCCUGUAGUAUGAUGGAUGUACUGCUAUUUUGAGUUGUGCUCGCAUGGUUGAAUUUUGAUGUGUUUAACUGUAUGUGAACAUGGUGUAUGCGAAUCUGAAAAUUAUGUGUUUUGGUGCUGGUGCGUUCUGGAAAUGAAGAUAUGUUUGAUGUAUUGCAA